CCUUCGGGAUGCCGGCGAGUGGCGAACGGGUGAGUAAUGCAUCGGAACGUACCCAGUAGUGGGGGAUAACUUACCGAAAGGUAAGCUAAUACCGCAUACGCACUGAGGUGGAAAGCAGGGGACCGCAAGGCCUUGCGCUAUUGGAGCGGCCGAUGUCGGAUUAGCUAGUUGGUGGGGUAAAGGCCUACCAAGGCGACGAUCCGUAGCGGGUCUGAGAGGAUGAUCCGCCACACUGGAACUGAGACACGGUCCAGACUCCUACGGGAGGCAGCAGUGGGGAAUUUUGGACAAUGGGCGCAAGCCUGAUCCAGCCAUGCCGCGUGAGUGAAGAAGGCCUUCGGGUUGUAAAGCUCUUUCGGCCGGGAAGAAAUCGGUGAGGCUAAUAUCCUCACUGGAUGACGGUACCGGAAUAAGAAGCACCGGCUAACUACGUGCCAGCAGCCGCGGUAAUACGUAGGGUGCGAGCGUUAAUCGGAAUUACUGGGCGUAAAGCGUGCGCAGGCGGUUUUGUAAGACAGGCGUGAAAUCCCCGGGCUCAACCUGGGAACUGCGCUUGUGACUGCAAGGCUAGAGUACGGCAGAGGGGGGUGGAAUUCCACGUGUAGCAGUGAAAUGCGUAGAGAUGUGGAGGAACACCGAUGGCGAAGGCAGCCCCCUGGGCCGAUACUGACGCUCAUGCACGAAAGCGUGGGGAGCAAACAGGAUUAGAUACCCUGGUAGUCCACGCCCUAAACGAUGUCAACUAGGUGUUGGGUGGGUAAAACCAUUUAGUACCGUAGCUAACGCGUGAAGUUGACCGC
RNAcentral lists this ribosomal RNA (800 nucleotides) under uncultured bacterium. RNAcentral's name for it is "bacterial SSU rRNA". It matches the Rfam family "Bacterial small subunit ribosomal RNA", at positions 77 to 872 of the family's 1533-position model. The record is from RNAcentral.